This 280-nucleotide ribosomal RNA is filed under the name uncultured Ascomycota. Its description in RNAcentral is "partial 18S ribosomal RNA". It matches the Rfam family "Eukaryotic small subunit ribosomal RNA", at positions 548 to 834 of the family's 1831-position model. The record is from RNAcentral. Lineage: Eukaryota; Fungi; Ascomycota.
UUGGAGGGCAAGUCUGGUGCCAGCAGCCGCGGUAAUUCCAGCUCCAAUAGCGUAUAUUAAAGUUGUUGUGGUUAAAAAGCUCGUAGUUGAACCUUGGGCCCGGCUGGCCGGUCCGCCUCACCGCGUGUACUGGUCCGGCCGGGCCUUUCCCUCUGUGGAACCCCAUGCCCUUCACUGGGUGUGGCGGGGAAACAGGACUUUUACUGUGAAAAAAUUAGAGUGCUCCAGGCAGGCCUAUGCUCGAAUACAUUAGCAUGGAAUAAUAGAAUAGGACGUGUGG